UGUUCCCAAAAUUGAGUACCAGGUGGUA
RNAcentral lists this non-coding RNA (28 nucleotides) under Rattus norvegicus (Norway rat). Lineage: Eukaryota; Metazoa; Chordata; Mammalia; Rodentia; Muridae. The record is from RNAcentral.